GGAUUAGAUACCCUGGUAGUCCAUGCCGUAAACGAUGUGUGUUAGACGUUGGAAAUUUAUUUUCAGUGUCGCAGCGAAAGCGAUAAACACACCGCCUGGGGAGUACGACCGCAAGGUUAAAACUCAAAUGAAUUGACGGGGACCCGCACAAGUAGUGGAGCAUGUGGUUUAAUUCGAAGAUACGCGCAGAACCUUACCAACACUUGACAUGUUCGUCGCGAUUCUAAGAGAUUAGAGUUUUCGGUUCGGCCGGAUGAAACACAGGUGCUGCAUGGCUGUCGUCAGCUCGUGUUG
Molecule: ribosomal RNA, 294 nt
Filed under: uncultured bacterium
Lineage: Bacteria
Description: partial 16S ribosomal RNA
Rfam family: Bacterial small subunit ribosomal RNA
Source: RNAcentral